CCUACGGGCGGCAGCAGUGAGGAAUAUUGGUCAAUGGGCGCGAGCCUGAACCAGCCAAGUCGCGUGAGGGAGGACGGCCCUACGGGUUGUAAACCUCUUUUGCCGGGGAGCAACGGGCGUCACGUGUGGCGCCACUGAGAGUACCCGGAGAAAAAGCAUCGGCUAACUCCGUGCCAGCAGCCGCGGUAAUACGGAGGAUGCGAGCGUUAUCCGGAUUUAUUGGGUUUAAAGGGAGCGUAGGUGGAUUGUUAAGUCAGUUGUGAAAGUUUGCGGCUCAACCGUAAAAUUGCAGUUGAAACUGGCAGUCUUGAGUACAGUAGAGGUGGGCGGAAUUCGUGGUGUAGCGGUGAAAUGCUUAGAUAUCACGAAGAACUCCGAUUGCGAAGGCAGUUCACUGGACUGCAACUGACACUGAGGCUCGAAAGUGUGGGUAUCAAACAGGAUUAGAUACCCUUGUAGUC
This 461-nucleotide ribosomal RNA is filed under the name uncultured bacterium. RNAcentral's name for it is "partial 16S ribosomal RNA". It matches the Rfam family "Bacterial small subunit ribosomal RNA", at positions 338 to 795 of the family's 1533-position model. The record is from RNAcentral.